UUUUUUAUGAAGAAGUCUACUUUUACAGAUUGAACUAUUGCAUCAUGUCUAAAUUUCCCUCUAAUACGUUCAAUAAUCGCAAAUAAGCAUUAGUCAUAAUGUCUGAUUUCACAGAUAAUAUCAAAACCCAUGAAUCAGGGUGCCAUGGAAAUCAUACAAAGCACACACAACAGCCGCAUUCAGGUGUUGGCAAUUGGCCUAUAUAACAUACUAGAAGAUAACUCAAUUACAUUGGCACCUAACUCCUUUUGAUGGAAUUUUCUGAAUGUUAUUCCUACUUUUGAUGGAAUUUUCUGAAUGUUAUUCCUUCUUUUGAUGACAAUGUACUCAUAAGACAUCCAAGCAGUAUACAACACUAUUGUGUGGCGACAUCACCUUCUCAGUGCUUGCACUCAACAGGCACAAAUUCGAAAUAAUCAUUUAGCACAAAAUUACAACAUAGUGAAGGGGAAAUGCAAGCAGAUAGUUGCCCACAAAUUAUAGGCUAAAUUUUUUUAAAUAAUACAUUUUUUUUAAAUUACAGAAAUAAUACGCAGAAAAAAGAAUUUACAAGAAUAAUACACCGUCGGCCCACUGCAGGCCGACUGAGCCCAGUCGGUCCACAGCAGGCCGAUCGGCUAUCAGGAGGCCGACUGCAGGCCGGGCUGGCACGCGGCCGCCUGUGGUUGGUCGGGCCACAUCGCGAGGGGGGAGGCAGCGGCCUGUCGGCGUGGUGCGCCCCUGUCGGCCUGCCGCCCGCCGAUCGGCCACCUGGUGGCCGACAGGGUGCUGCCGACCUGACGCGCGCUGGCCAGCCCGCCCUUAUCCUCUCCUUCCUCUCCUCCUGCAUUAUUUCUUCUCCCGUGCCCGCCCUUAUCCUCUCCUUCCUCCAUUAUUCUUCUCCCGUGGCUCAUUUCUGCUGUGUUCUUCCUCCUCCUCUCUCUACAGAAAAAUGGCACACAUUUGUACACCUAAAUGAGCAACAUUUUCGCGAUUUUGGCACCGUGAAUAGGUUCAACUCAUUUAGGGCAGCCAAAAGAGGUGUCGAUCUACUGACGGGGUAGCUCCUGGUGGUCGUGGUGAGCAUUUUGGUGGAGGUGGUGGUGGUGAAGUUGGGGCAGUGUUCGUCGUUGGGGCAGUUGGGGUGGUGAGGUGGUGGUGGUGGUGGAGGUGGUGGAGGUGGUGGUGGUGGAGGUCGUUCGUCGUUCUUCGUUCUUCGUUCGCACGCACGCUUCAAGGGUAUAUUUCAGCCCACAUUUUAUUUUUCGUAGGUGCUCCGGGAGUAUACGUAAAUACUGUUAUUUGCCGCGGUAGUAUACGUAAAUAUUUGUGUGUGAUUAUUGUUAUUUGGCCCGGUAGUAUACAGAAAUAUUGUUAUUUGCCCCGGUAGUAUACGUAAAUAUUAUUCGUUCGCACGCAUGCUACGUUCGAUGUGAAAAUAAAUUUGUGUGCGAUUAUUGUUAUUUGCCCCGGUAGUAUACGUAAAUAUUUGUAGUUGCUACGGCAAAUAUUCGUAAUAUAGUUGUAGGUGUGUGAAUUGUAUUAGUUGUUAGUGGGAUAAUAAGUUGUUGCUUAAUACUUGACACGUACACAGGUGCGGGAUAAGAAGUUGGAAACAUGAAUAAAAAGUUGGAAAGAAGAGACAAGUUUUUUUUUGAAGAGUUGGGGUCGGCAUGUGCAUAGCAUGUCAAUGUGAUGAAAAUUUAACAAGCAAACAAAAAAUAGGAAAAGUAGAACUACAUGUAAAAAAACGUUUCAGUCCGUACCCGAUGCCAAUAUGAAGCGGAUUACCCGCUAACCUUUAUUAUGCGUAUUUUCUAAAGUUUAACCCAUAACAAGCAAUGCCACACUGUUUUUUUUAAACGGCCACGCUGUAGUUUAACAAAAAAACUUCUUUGCAAGGAAGAAUUUUACAUGAUCGUAGAAAUAAGACGCAUGCCUUUUUCUAAAUUAUUUUAACAUAGAUUAAAAUAAAAAAUACAUCAACAUGGCCAUAUAAUUCAAAUAAACUGAAUUAUCAUAUUUGUCGGUUAUAUUAUUAUUAUUUGAGGCCUAUUUAUUAUUAGUAAAUAUGGGCCUAUUUAUUAUAUUAUUUACUAUGGUCCUGGUAAUAUAUAUAUAUAGACAUGUCUAAUACUUGUAUUUCUAUGUUGAAAAAAAAUAGGUGAGUCGAGAUGUCCGAUGUAGUGAAGUUGAGAUUUUACUAUGGUCCUGGUACUGUCCAAACAAAUGAGUUGGGAGCAGAUCUUAGUGAAUUUACUCACAUAGAGGUUGCAAUCAGCGCACCACAAACAUGGUCUGUUAGUCAGUUGAAAGAAUGGAUCGCGGCAAGUUUAGGUCUUGAUACUGAAACACACACCGUCGGUGUUCAUGCAUUGUGGACACGGUCAAGUUCAAAAAUUUACUUUUAUUUGAGGCCAAUAGAGGGAGACUCCGAUUGGGUGCGGUGGUUACAAUGUUGUGAACGAAGGGGAUGCAAUCCUGUUGCUUUAGUGCUUCCCGUCGUGAAGGAGGUCACUGCACAUGAAGGGGAGGGUGGCUACGAAGGACAGAGCAGUCAUGUAGAAGGAGGAAAUGCUUAUGGUUACGAACAAGGACAGAGCAGUCAGGUAGAAGGAGGAAAUGCUUAUGGUUAUGAACCAGGGCAGAGUAGUCAGGUAGAAGGAGGAAAUGCCGAUGGUGAUUACAAUGGCGAGGUGGACGCUGACGAGGUAGAUGGGCACAUGCAGAACCAGAUGGAAGAAGAAGACACCGAUGUUGAAAGGGGUCAUGCCGAUGAUUCUGACGAGUCAGAUGAAGAAGAAAAUGUAGAGGAGGUCCCGAAUCCUGCAUGGUGGAAUCAUGACUUAUCAUCUGCAAUGACCGUGAAUGAUGGACAUGAUUCAGCUUGGCAAUAUCACCAGAACAAUAUUGCGACGGGUGCUAUGUAUCCGAACAAGCAAGCCCUGAAGGAUGCAAUAAUUAAUUGGGCAAUGUCCACGCAAAGGGUUUUCAAAGCUGAGGUGUCCAGUCAGAAAUUCCUCACAAUGGUAUGCAAGAAUGCAGAUUGUCCCGCAAGGGUGCACGGCUUUCUCCCUAAGUAUGGCACAAGUUGGGUGAUAAGUGACUUAGUUAAUCACACUUGUCUUAUUCCCUGCAUCCCUCAAGAUCAUGCCAACCUUUCAUCCACGCUUAUUGCUCGACUGUUUUACGAUGAGAUAGUGCAAGGCAAAGCUAUGGAAGUGAAGGCAGUGCAGACAAAAGUGUUCGCCAGGUUGAAGUACAAAAUUUCUUAUGGCAAGGCUUGGAGGGCUAAGCAUGCAGCGCUUGAGAGGAGAUUUGGUUCUUAUUUUGAUGCAUAUGACUCUGUUGUCCACCUCCUCCACACCCUGCAGCAGCGGAAUCCAGGCACCUAUAUCGAUAUCCAAGACAUGUUCAUGCCAGAGUUCCCAACUGUGAGGGUUUUGCAUCGUCUCUUCUUCUCUUUCGGUGUAUGCAUCGAAGCUUUCAGGCAUUGCCGACCGGUGAUAUGUGUUGACGGUACUUUUCUCACAGGCAAGUACAAGGGUCAGAUCCUGACAGCCAUAGGUCAAGACGGCCAAAAUCAAGUCGUCCCACUGGCAUUUGCUUUUGUGGAGAGUGAGAACAUUGAAAGUUGGACAUGGUUCUUCAGGCAGUUGAAAAUAUCAGUUGUGAAGGAGAAGCCGAAUGUGUGCAUCCUUCAUGACAGGCAUGCAGGUAUACUCAGUGCGAUAAGGACACUGACAAAUCCAGGCCCUGAGGAACAAGUUCCAUGGCAGGACUUGCAGAGCCGUUGGUGCAUGCGCCAUCUCGGGGCUAAUUUCUUCUCGCAGUUUAGAAAUAAGAACCUGAUGAAUCUAUUCAAAAAACUCUGCAAGCAGAACCAGUUAUGGAAGUACAAUUUGAUACGCGACAGACUUAAUGUGUGCACGCAGAGACACGUGAGGGACAGGAAAGCUGCAAGAGAUGCAGCGGUGAGGACACAUGUUGAAGCAGUAGCUGCACAGUUGGCAACAGGAACAGCGGCCGUGGAGGAGGAGGCUGUUGGGCUAUGUGACCUGCCAGGCUUUGACCCACCUGGUACUAGGAGAAGGCUCGGGAGGUCGAUUAAAACCUUCGAGCAGUGGAUAGAGCAUGAGCCUCUGGAGAGGUGGUCUUUGCUACAUGACACACAUGGAGCAAGGUACGGUGUCAUGACAACGAACCUCGCGGAAACAUACAACUUUGUCCUCAGAGGAAACCGGGCAUUGCCACUUACAGCCAUCGUUGAGGGUAUUUUCUAUGGCACCGUCAAGUAUUUCAGAGACAGACGUCAAAUAGCAGAGCAGCAUAUCUUGAACAACCCAAAUACACGGUACUGUGAAAGAGUCACGAAGUACAUGGACAAUAAGAUGCAAAAAGCUAGGUCACACACUGUAGUCGCCAUCGGUAAUCAAGAAAGAAGGUUUGAGGUCCGCUUAGCCAACAACAAAUUCGGAUGUGCAAAUGAGUUGAGGACGCAUGAGGUGAAAAUUGGCAAUGAAGCCUGGCCAACGUGUGAGUGCACAUGCAAUAAACCGAAAUUGCUUCACCUACCUUGCGCACAUGUACUUGCUGCUUGCGGGCAGCUUGGAAUGGACGCAAUAUCGUUUGUGUCUCCAUAUUUUCUGAAAGAGGCCGUCCUCAAUACCUGGACAGGUGAGCUGAUGGGUUUUCGAACAAUGGGUAAUUUCAACAGCGUCAACCCCGCCGAUAGGCGUUACAUUCCAAACCCAGAGCAUAUGCGUACAAGUAGAGGCAGACGGCAGUGUCAGCGCAUCCGAAAUGAUAUGGAUGAAUCUGAAGCAGGAGGUCCGACUAGGCAAUGCAUUCUAUGCAAUGAAUUUGGCCAUAGGGACACUAAUUGUCCCACAUUCGUCACUGGGCGUGGACGAGGCAACCGGGGAAGAAGAGGAGGUAGAGGUAGUAGAGGAGUAAGGGCGAGAGGAAGAAGCUAAGCUAGCACUAGUUUGUUCUGAAUUUAUAUUAAGUGUGCUGUGGCACUAUGUUCUGAAAUUUGUAUUAAGUGUGGCACUAUGUUCUGAAUUUUUAUUAAGUGUGGCACUAUGUUCUGAAAUUUGUAUUAAGUGUGGCACUAUGUUAUGAAUUUUUAUUAAGUGUGGCACUAUGUUCUGAAUUUGUAUUAAGUGUGGCACUAUGUUCUGAAUUUUUAUUAAGUGUGGCACUUUGUUGUGAAUUUUUAUUAAGUGUGGCACUUUGUUCUGAAUUUUUAUUAAGUGUGGCACUUUGUUCUGAAUUUUUAUUAAGUGUGACACUAUGUUAUGAAUUUUUAUUAAGUGUGGCACUAUGUUAUGAAUUUUUAUUAAGUGUGGCACUUUGUUAUGAAUUUUUAUUAAGUGUGACACUAUGUUCUGAAUUUUGUAUGUGCAGGAAUGUCGGGAUUGUGGUUGCUGAAUGGGGACAUUGAUAAGGGUCAUCGUGGUGCCAUAUGGUAUGAGCGCAAGCUUGAGCCUCUCGUCACUCGCACUCCUAAGGAAAACUGAAAGAUACACUCAGGAUGGCUUCAGCGGUACGUGCUUUAUUAAUUUGCACACUGACAUGCAUAUUAAUGGUUGAAAUGGGAGACACUAACUGAAAAGUUCUCUGAUGAAGGUUGAAAUGGGCCGGCCAUUUACCUUUCGCGUGUCUGGUUGAGUCUAUCCCGGGUGAGAAACGCGUCGCCAUCGAUGGGUCUUUGCUGAGCUGCUUAGUGGACCGUUGGAGGCCGGAGACCCACACGUUUCACUUCAGAUGGGGAGAGAUGGCUCCUACUCUGGAGGAUGUGUCACUUUUGCUCGGACUACCGUUGGCAGGUCAUGCCGUAGGACCGUUGGACGCACCGGCUGGUUGGGAGCGAGCUCUUACAGAACGUUUUCACGGUGUUUUUCCGGAUGCUCCCGAUCCGGUAUGGGAGCAUCACAGACCUAAGUAUGAGUGGUUGCUAAAUUUCCGGGUAAUUUCCCCUACCUAUUCUCUUCAAGUUAUCGCGCAUAAAGUUUUACAGAAAAUAAUUGCGGCUUACUAAAACUUUCUCUUCGCUUAAUGCAGAUCCAGAACUUCCGGGCGCCGUUGACUGCGGAACAGAUCACUCGGAGCCUCGAGGCCUACUUACUGUGGCUUUUCGGCAAGGUGAUGUUCACGGAGAACCAUGUCACCACUAUUAGCGCCCUCUACAUCCCUAUGGCACUUGAGAUAGCGAGCGCUCAGACGGCGGAUCAGAUCAGACAGAGGAGUUGGGGUUCGGCGGUGUUAGCGGCUACAUACCGAGGUAUGUGCAACGGUUGCCAGCUUACAUCGAGAAAGCCAGCCCUUCUUGGAUGCCCUCUAUUCCUACAACUGUGGUCGUGGGAGAGGUUCUCUAUAGGGCGACCAGAUGUACGUGUUCAUGAGACUAUAGACGCCAUGUUUGAUGUUGACGGCAUCGACAUGCCUACUUUCGGUCUGUGUUGGACUCGUCGCAAGGUAUGCACCGUGUUGUAGUUUAAUGCAACUUUUUCUGCACAAGAGAUCGAUCGAUGCUAGCGGCUACUAACUUUUAUUCUCAGCAGAGACGCUUUGCUAGUGAUCAGACCAGGAAGGCGUACACAGCAUUGAACGAGCAGUUCGAUGCGUACACCGGGGUCAUCUGGCAGCCCUACACGGAAGAAGCCGCGUCACUCCAUGCAACGACAUCAACCACGUCCACGCCUAGCACAGCAGCCGGCAACCAGGCCACCCCGUCCUGACCAACCUGGCAGUUCUAUGUGGCACCCGCAGCACUAUGGUCCCACGUCGAGCUUCGUGUUUUCUCCACAGCCACAGCAACACGGUCCCUCGUCGAGCUUCGUGUUUUCUCCACAGCCACAGCAGCACGGUCCCUCGUCCAGUUUCGUGUUUCAGCCAGAGCAGACGUCACACCCAGCAGGUAUGUGUCUUCAUAUUUAUUGUUUUCAAUAUUAAUUGACGCGACCUCAUUCUUCAUGAUGAAACGUUCCAUCGCGCAGGGGCCUAUGGAUAUCAGGCGUCUAUGUCGGCAUCACAUGAUACGUGGGGGAGUGAUCAACAUCCCGAGGACAACAUACAGGCUCAGAUGUUGCAGCACACCCAGUGGAUGAACAUGUUUUCGACUCCUCCACCAGGCCCCACACAGGAUACACAGCAUGACCAGGGAGAGUCUGGGAUUCCUCCUCGUCACAUUAGGGCACCCGACAGGUUGGGAUGGUCCCCGAUUCCAGAUCCGCCUCCCCGCCAGGCCAGACGUCGUCACUGACGCUUCUAUGUAUCUGUAUCAGUAGAGACAUUACCAUCUAUUUUUGUGUAAGACUUAUGUCUAUUCUAUGUAUCAGACAAAUGACUAUGUACUUAUGUACGAGACAUAUGCCUACUCUAUUUUAGUACUCUGUUAUCGGAACUACAAGAUCAUAUGUAGAUAGAACAUAAUAUUCAUACAACGAGACAUUGCAAACAAUUAGAUAGAACUACAUCUAAAUUAAAUGGUACGUAACUGAACUCACAACAUACAGCAUAAAAACUACAUGAAGUCAUCAUCGUCAUAUGUUCGCGCCAACUUUUUCCCGCCAUAUGUUCCCGCCAUAUGUUCCCGCCACCCGUUUCCCUCCUCCCAUUUCCCGCCAACCCUUUCCCGCCAUACCGCAGUCGUUCUUUCCCGCCAUUUUCUCCUCUCUACCUAUAAAACCCCUUCAGACGGAGCUGCAUAAGCAUUGCAGUGUGCUGGUGGUGAAAUUGGAGCACUGUGGUGGAGGUGAAGCUGUUGUUCGUCGUUCUUCGUUGGAGCCGGAGCACCGGCAGUUUGGUGGCCGCCGUUCGUCGUUCAUCCUUCGCACGCACGCUUCAAGGGUAUAUUUAAGCCCACAUUUUAUUUUUCGUAGGUGCUCCGGUAGUAUUUGUUAAUAUAUUUAGAUGUCAACUAAUUAGUUGUGUACAAAUGUGUAGUUGCUCCGGUAAUAAUCCGUCCUAUAUGUGGAUGUCAAGUAUUUAGGAGUGUCAGUAUAUGUAGGAGUCCAGAAAAAAGGUCCGUAAUAUAGGCAGUCCAGUCAAAUAUAUUAAUCUGUAAAUAUUUGUAGUUGCUACGGCAAAUACUCGUAAUAUAAUUGUAGGUGGGUGAAUUGUAUUAGUUGCUCCGUUAAUAUUAUGUAAUAUAUAGCUUCGUAAUAUAUAGACAUGUCUAAUAUUUGUUAGUGGGGAUAUUAAGGGGUAGGGUAGGUACUCAAUGCGAUUUGUGUGUUGCAGAUGGCUGAGGGCACUCAGUGGGUGCUUAGCCCUAUUGUUCAUGUCCAAGGCUUGUCUCCAAGUGUUGUGCAAGUUAGUGAAGUGGACCUCACUUUUGAUUGGUUGAAGACUAAAUUCAUGUUGAAGCAAGGGUUGAAGGAAGACGAUUUUGUGUACUACGUCAGCAGCAAGCAUUCAGAUGGCCCUGGGGAAAGAAAAUUGAUUGACAUAACUGAUGAUGGCAAGAUUCAAGAAAUGCUGAGCGAAUGGGAAUGGAAAAGGGUUGUUUAGUUGCAUUGCUACAGGAAACCGAGUUAUAUGUGAUGCAUUUGUCAUUCCAGAUCCGCCUCCCCGGCAGGCCAGACGUCGUCAUUGCCGUUCCUAUGUGUGAGACUUAUGUCUAUUCUAUGUAUGAGACAAAUGACUAUGUACUUAUGUACGAGACAUAUGCCUACUCUACAAGAUCAUAUUUACAUAGAACAUAAUAUUCAUACAACGAGACAUUACAAACAACUAGAUAGAACUACAUCUAAAUUAAAUGGCACGUAACUGAACUCACAACAUACAGCAUAAAAACUAUAUGAAGUCUUCAUCGUCAUCCUCGAUCGAUGCAGAACUCUUGCCCUUCGACGAUGAAGAACUCUUGCCCUUCGACGAUGCAGAAACCUUGCCCUUCGAUGAUGAAGAACUCUUGCCCUUCGACGAUGCAGAAACCUUGCCCUUCGAUGAUGAAGAACUCUUCCCCUUCGACGAUGCAGAACACGGAAGCGGCGGCAUGAAGAUAUCAUCUUCGUCCUCGCUCUCCUCAGUCCAUAAACAUGGAUUAUUUGCUGCAAUCCUUCUGAAAGUUUCACUCUUCGGCACCACUACUUCUUCCAGCUGUCAUGCAACCUAAAAAGUUCUUUACGUACCUCCUCAUAGGUCCUUUCAGGCCACCCAGAACUACGUAAUUGGUGAGCCAACUCAUUCAUUAUGGUGUCACUACCGGUGAGUUCGUCCCAUGGAACUAUCCUAUUAUCCAUCCUGAAAUCGGUAGCUAGCCUCAGAAGAGUCCUGCUCAUCCCAGGGUGAAAACUACGAUCGAAAGGAUAAUGGGACAUCUCAACUACACUACACUGCAAUGCUUAUCCAGCUCCGUCUGAAGGGGGUUUUAUAGAUAGAGACGAGAAAAUGGCGGGAAAGAACGACUACGGUAUGGCGGGAAAGGUUGGCGGGAAAUGGGAGGAGGGAAACGGGUGGCGGGAAAUUGGUUGGCGGGAAACGGGUGGAGGGAAACGGGUGGCGGGAAAUUGGGUGGCGGGAAAUGGGUGGCGGGAAAUGGAUGGCGGAAAAAGCGCAGUUUGGAAAUGUCGAUAACUUUCAAAACAAAUGUUCAUCACAAUGGAAAAAGGUUCCCGCCUUUCAAAAAAUGCAUGCAAUUUUUUUUGAAAAAUAUUAAAAGAAAUGGUUCGUGCCACUAAAUGAAUGUACGUCACCUUUGCUGGAAAUAUUCUCGUGUUUCCAAAAAAUAUCCAUGACAUUGUAAAAAAUGGUACUCCCUUCAUCCCAUAAUAUAAGAUGAUAUUACAAUUAAUAUACUCACAUAUCACGUGGGUUAACAAAUGUUUAGAUGGAUCAUGACAUUUUAAGAAAAUAUUCGCGUGUUUCUAAAAAAAGUUUGUGAAAAUUUCAGAAAAGCAUUUUAAAAAAUGUUGUGUGGUUUAAAAAAAUGGUAUUUCCAUUAAAAAUGUAUUUGAAGAAAUGUUACCAUGUAUUCAUAACGUGUUAAAAUAUAUACUUUAAAAAAAUAUCAUCAUGUAUUAUUAGAAAUAGGCAUGCACCAGUCGGCCCACAGCAGGCCAACUGAGCAUAGUCGGCCCACUGCAGGCCUAUCGGUGUACUGCAGGCCGACUGGACCCUGUCGGCCAACUGCAGGCCGACUGGGCUUGAUUCUGGUGGCCGACAGCCCAAUCGGCCAGCAGCAAACUGAUGGGCCGCCAGUCGGCCUGCUGUGGGCCGACUGGGCUCAGUCGGCCUGCAGUAGGCCGAUGGUGUAUUAUUUUUGAAAAAUCUUUUUUUUGCAUAUUAUUUCUGUAAUUUAAAAAAAAUGUAUUAUUUAAAAAAAAUUAGCAAAUUAUAGAGUACAACAUAAGUUCUUAAUUUGUUGAAAGACGGUCAUAGAAGUAGAACUAGAGAAGCAUGCCUGAAAAGCGCA
Molecule: long non-coding RNA, 10399 nt
Filed under: Triticum aestivum (bread wheat)
Lineage: Eukaryota; Viridiplantae; Streptophyta; Magnoliopsida; Poales; Poaceae
Description: long non-coding RNA (TAES_LNC018451)
Source: RNAcentral